CCUACGGGUGGCUGCAGUGGGGAAUAUUGGACAAUGGGCGAAAGCCUGAUCCAGCCAUGCCGCGUGUGUGAAGAAGGCCUUCGGGUUGUAAAGCACUUUCAGUGGGGAAGAAAGCCUUGGGGCUAAUACCCUCGAGGAAGGACAUCACCCACAGAAGAAGCACCGGCUAACUCCGUGCCAGCAGUCGCGGUAAUACGGAGGGUGCGAGCGUUAAUCGGAAUUACUGGGCGUAAAGCGCGCGUAGGCGGUCUGAUAAGCCGGUUGUGAAAGCCCCGGGCUCAACCUGGGAACGGCAUCCGGAACUGUCAGGCUAGAGUGCAGGAGAGGAAGGUAGAAUUCCCGGUGUAGCGGUGAAAUGCGUAGAGAUCGGGAGGAAUACCAGUGGCGAAGGCGGCCUUCUGGACUGACACUGACGCUGAGGUGCGAAAGCGUGGGUAGCAAACAGGAUUAGAUACCCGGGUAGUC
This 465-nucleotide ribosomal RNA is filed under the name Vreelandella stevensii. Its description in RNAcentral is "partial 16S ribosomal RNA". It matches the Rfam family "Bacterial small subunit ribosomal RNA", at positions 338 to 795 of the family's 1533-position model. The record is from RNAcentral. Lineage: Bacteria; Pseudomonadati; Pseudomonadota; Gammaproteobacteria; Oceanospirillales; Halomonadaceae.